RNAcentral lists this ribosomal RNA (466 nucleotides) under uncultured bacterium. RNAcentral's name for it is "partial 16S ribosomal RNA". It matches the Rfam family "Bacterial small subunit ribosomal RNA", at positions 28 to 507 of the family's 1533-position model. The record is from RNAcentral.
GAUGAACGCUGGCGGCGUGCUUAACACAUGCAAGUCGAACGGAAAGGCCCAAGCUUGCUUGGGUCCUCGAGUGGCGAACGGGUGAGUAACACGUGGGUGAUCUGCCCUGCACUUCGGGAUAAGCCUGGGAAACUGGGUCUAAUACCGGAUAGGACCACAUUUUGGAGGGUGUGGUGGAAAGUUUUUCGGUGUGGGAUGAGCUCGCGGCCUAUCAGCUUGUUGGUGGGGUAAUGGCCUACCAAGGCGUCGACGGGUAGCCGGCCUGAGAGGGUGUACGGCCACAGUGGGACUGGGAUACGGACCAGACUCCUACGGGAGGCAGAAGUGGGGAAUAUUGCACAAUGGGCGCAAGCCUGAUGCAGCGACGGCGCGUGGGGGAUGACGGCCUUGGGGUUGUAAACUCCUUUCGCUAGGGACGAAGAGUUAUGUGACGGUACCUGGAGAAGAAGCACCGGCUAACUACGUG